This 370-nucleotide ribosomal RNA is filed under the name uncultured cyanobacterium. Its description in RNAcentral is "bacterial SSU rRNA". It matches the Rfam family "Bacterial small subunit ribosomal RNA", at positions 399 to 770 of the family's 1533-position model. The record is from RNAcentral. Lineage: Bacteria; Bacillati; Cyanobacteriota.
GCGUGCGGGAUGACGCCUUUCGGGGUGUAAACCGCUUUUGUCGGGGACGAAGGCUGGAGCAAUCCGGUGAGACGGUACCCGGCGAAGAAGGACCGGCUAACUACGUGCCAGCAGCCGCGGUAAUACGUGGGGUCCAAGCGUUGUCCGGAAUUACUGGGCGUAAAGGGCGUGCAGGUGGUUUGGUAAGCUUGGCGUGAAAGCCCCCGGCCCAACCGGGGAGGGUCGUCGAGGACUGUCAGACUUGAGGGGCGCAGGGGUCGGUGGAAUUCCGGGUGUAGUGGUGAAAUGCGUAGAGAUCCGGAGGAACACCAGUGGCGAAGGCGGCCGACUGGGCGCACCCUGACACUGAGACGCGAAGGCGUGGGGAGCG